GGGGGGCAACCAAGCUGGCCUGUCUUACGAUUCUGCCUUCUAGACCUGAAACUCUUUUGUCUUUGCUCUUCUGGGCCUUUCUUCUGUCUUGCUUUCCCAUCCCACACCCUUCAUCAACAGAACCUCUUCACCCAGUCCAGGCUGCUCUGACUUUUUUCACAUUGUUUUCUAAAUGAGACCUCGCUCCUUCCGCCUUGAUAGAGCUAAGAGCACACACUGUGGAAUUAAAUCUACCCAGCCCUGCUACUUACAAGCUGUGUGAUCUUGGGCAAUUACUCGACCUCUCUGUGCUACAGAUUUUACAGCGUAAAACCAGUACUGGCACUCACUUAACAAUGCUGCAGGGGGAAUUACACAAGUAUGACAGCAAGGACUGGAACUGAAUGCUCAUCACCAGCUUUGCACUGGCUACAGUUGGGGGCCUCCAAUGAAUACAGUGUUACCCCACAGAAGACUUAUGGGUUACGAAAGGGGACCUGGAGGUCACCACCUUAAUCAUGGAUCAAUCUUAUCAUCAGUAAGGAACCAACUGACCCUCUGAUGUGAUGCACUGAGAAGGGACACAUCCCCCAUAUAGUACUCCUGCUAAAAAUGUUCAACCUGAAUCUAACGCAAACUGGGGGACAUUCUGCAAAACAGCUAGCCUGGACUCUUAAAAAAUAUCAAUAUCACAAGAGAAACAAAACAAAACCCUGGAGUAGUGUUGUUGAUUAGUGAAGACUGAGAGACAUGACUAAAUGCAGUGUAGGAUUCUGAAUCAAAGUCUGGAUUUUAAAAAGAACCUGUAAAUCUGUUACCUCACGUGGACAGAGACUUUGCAGAUGUGAUUGACGCUGAGGAUUUUGAGAUGGGGAAAUCAUUCUUGAGCACCCAGGUGGAUUCAGUGUAAUCACAGAGAGCCCUGGAAGUGAAAGAAGGAGGCAGGAUAGUGGAAGAAAUAGAUGUGUUGAUGGCAGCAGUGGUCAGACGGUGUGAUUGCUGGCUUUGAAGCUGGAAGGGGCCACAAGCCAAGGAAUGUGGGCAGCUUUGAGAAGCUGGAAAAUCUUGGCGUUUGCUUUCUUUGAACGUGGUCUCAUCAGUUGGCCGCCUGGGAUUGACGGGAGCUUGGCUGCUGUGAUCGCCUGAGACCCGGCUAUUUGUUACAAAAGAAUACUCGUAAAGUCAGGCUUUCAGUGGUUCACCUGCUAAGGAAGCACACCAUUCUGGAUGCUUGCAGAAGUCUUCACGUUUGACUGGAAGAUGACACGGAAAGACCACAUAUUAAUGAUGGGGCCCUAUGCCAGCUCUGAUGCCCACAAGAGCACAGAGUGUAACAGAAGUGCCCAUGAAUGAUCUGCCAAGCUAGAAAGCACUAUUAAACCCAAGAAGGCUGAAAUUCCAUAUGCCUAAGGUGAUGACCCAUCCCUCCAUUGAGAAAGUGGAAGAGACAGACAACAGUGGAGAACGAUGGUUGGGAGAAGGUGGCAUUGUUUGCAACCACACUAGACAUCAGUGUCAUUGCUGGAACCAUCUUUCAGUCAAGCAUCUAUGCAUUAUGACUGUCCAAUCCUGAGACUCCAUUCGAAUCUUGCCACUGGCCCCAAUAAUGUCCUUUACAACAAAAAGAUCCACUCCAGAACCACAUGCAGCAUUUAGUUGUCAUGUUUCUUUACUCUCAUUCAGUUUAGAACAGUUCCUCAGUGUCUUUUUGUAGCUUGUAGGCCAGUUAUUUUGUGGAAUAUUCCUCAAUUUGGGGUUAUCUGAUGUUUCUUCAUCAUUUGAUUCAGAUAUUUAUCUUUGGCGGAAAUAUUACAGAAAUGAAACUGUGUACUUACUGUAUCCUACCAGGUGGCAUACAAUUUUCUUUGUCACGUUACUGGAGAUAUUAACUUCAGUUUAUUAUCAGGGUGGUGUCUGCCAGAUUUCUCCAUGGUAUAGUUGCUUUUUAAAUCUUUUUAAUGAAUAUG
Non-coding RNA from Microcebus murinus (gray mouse lemur), 1946 nucleotides. Lineage: Eukaryota; Metazoa; Chordata; Mammalia; Primates; Cheirogaleidae. The record is from RefSeq and is a predicted model, not a curated record.